Molecule: non-coding RNA, 619 nt
Organism: Heterocephalus glaber (naked mole-rat)
Lineage: Eukaryota; Metazoa; Chordata; Mammalia; Rodentia; Bathyergidae
Source: RefSeq, a predicted model, not a curated record
CUUGAUCAGCCUGGGAGAUAACAUCACAAGCUUCUGUGGGGCAGUAUGUGAGCUGUGAUUAGAUCGAAUAUAUUUAUUAGUUGAAGAAACCUGGAAUAGGAUCAUGUGUUGGGAGGAGAAUCUGGCAUUUUGAGGACCAUCUUGGAAAGAAGAAGGUUGCAGGGUAUAAUUUGCUGUAUUGGUCCAGAACUCAGAAGAGACCUGUGGCGGAGAUUACACUGGAGACUCACUGACUUGCAUCUAGCAAACAAAGUACAGGCAUGGUGAGACUGCUUGGGGGAAAGAGUACAGGAAGAGAAGAGUCUCUAAGUCUAGAUGGUAUGAAGAGAUGAAAGACUUGGGCAUGUAACUCUGAUGGUAAGGAUCCAGAAGGGAUGCAGCGGGCCCUAAGGAAGAGAGAAGAGGUGUGAACACUUCCCGAGAAGGCGGGAGAGCAUGGAUGGGAUCCAAGCUUCCACGGAGAAUGGGACGGAGGACAUGUGCUGGGGCUCUUAUUAGCACAGUCAGCAGAUCAACCUGUUCCAGGACAGGACAGCAGUUCUCCUCACAUACGCGGCACUGUGUUCCAGUCAUUCAACCAACCUCCACCCACACGGACCUGUUAUCUACUGGCAUGCCU